GACGAACGCUGGCGGCGUGCUUAACACAUGCAAGUCGAACGAUGAAGUUCCUUCGGGAAUGGAUUAGUGGCGAACGGGUGAGGAACACGUGAGAAACCUGCCUUUCAUUUUGGGAUAACUCCGGGAAACCGGGGCUAAAACCGAAUACUCCGUCUCGGCGGCAUCGCUGAGCCGGGAAAAAAUUUUGAUGAAAGAUGGUCUCGCGGCGUAUCAGCUAGUUGGUGAGGUAAUGGCUCACCAAGGCAACGACGGGUAGCCGGCCUGAGAGGGCGACCGGCGACACUGGGAAAGAGACACGGCGCAGACUCCUACGGGAGGCAGGAGUGGGGAAUAUUAGGCACUGGGCGCAAGCCUGACCCAGCGACGCCGCGUGAGGGAGGGAGGCCUUCAGGUUGUAAACCUCUUUCAGUAGGGAAGAAGCGAAAGUGACGGUACCUAAAGAGGAAGCACCGGCUAACUAUGUGCCAGCAGCCGCCGUAA
This 480-nucleotide ribosomal RNA is filed under the name uncultured bacterium. Its description in RNAcentral is "partial 16S ribosomal RNA". It matches the Rfam family "Bacterial small subunit ribosomal RNA", at positions 28 to 523 of the family's 1533-position model. The record is from RNAcentral.